RNAcentral lists this ribosomal RNA (464 nucleotides) under uncultured bacterium. RNAcentral describes it as "partial 16S ribosomal RNA". It matches the Rfam family "Bacterial small subunit ribosomal RNA", at positions 28 to 507 of the family's 1533-position model. The record is from RNAcentral.
GACGAACGCUGGCGGCGUGCUUAACACAUGCAAGUCGAACGGAAAGGCCCUGCUUGCAGGGUACUCGAGUGGCGAACGGGUGAGUAACACGUGGGUGAUCUGCCCUGCACUUCGGGAUAAGCCUGGGAAACUGGGUCUAAUACCGGAUAGGAGCCAUUUUUAGUGUGAUGGUUGGAAAGUUUUUUCGGUGUAGGAUGAGCUCGCGGCCUAUCAGCUUGUUGGUGGGGUAAUGGCCUACCAAGGCGGCGACGGGUAGCCGGCCUGAGGGGGUGGACGGCCACAUUGGGACUGAGAUACGGCCCAGACUCCUACGGGAGGCAGCAGUGGGGAAUAUUGCACAAUGGGCGCAAGCCUGAUGCAGCGACGCCGCGUGGGGGAUGACGGCCUUCGGGUUGUAAACUCCUUUCGCUAGGGACGAAGCUUUUGUGACGGUACCUAGAUAAGAAGCACCGGCUAACUACGUG